Poecilia latipinna (sailfin molly) is the source of this 743-nucleotide long non-coding RNA. RefSeq lists it as uncharacterized. The record is from RefSeq and is a predicted model, not a curated record. The transcript has 2 exons. NCBI's taxonomy places the organism in Eukaryota, Metazoa, Chordata, Actinopteri, Cyprinodontiformes, Poeciliidae.
CAUGCAAGACAACCAAAAAGCAUUAAACAGAAACAUGGACCACAGGAUCAGUGCUUUUCUGCAUUUCAGACUAAAUGUUGGAAUUGAAAAAAUAAUCAAACUUUAUUGGUUUUGAGCCUCGUGUAACAUAAAGGAUGAAGCCGUUCAGAUUGGCUGCUGACAUGCCCAUGCGCUGAAAUCUAUUGUUUUCCCAAGUGGGGGGAAUGCAGAAAGGCCCUAGGAGUGUCAGCUGAGCAGACAGAAACACGGUGUUGGAGGAGAAGUGGGAGCAGAGCAGCCAGACAACAGGGCCUCGCUAAGUUCCCCUUACAACUGCUGAGCGGGAAAGCAUGUCAGAUCGCACGUGUCAAACCUUGAAUUGGAUCCGUUUUUACCAGCAGCUGACCAUGUCGGGUUUCACUUCUGACAGCUGAGAACAGAAAUCAGGAGCUGCAGAGAGAACAGGCUCAGCAGAGCCGGACAGCUGAAGCUUUCUGUUUCUGCUCAGAGCGCAGAGGACGGACACAGGAUUAAUUGACCCAACCAGAGCCAUGCAGAUUCUCUCUGCUGAACUUUAGUGAACAUCAUGGUGGUGGCAGCAUCAUGCUGUGGGAGAAUGGAUGGAGCUAAAUCCAGGACAAUAAUGGAGGAACAACCAGCCUGAACAUCCAGCCAGAGAUAUUAUGGGAUGGUUUAGAUCCAAGCAGAUUCAUGUGUAAGAGUGGCCUAGUCAAAGUCCAGACCGUAAUCCAGCUGAGAAUCUG